Molecule: transfer RNA, 87 nt
Filed under: Cryphonectria parasitica (chestnut blight fungus)
Lineage: Eukaryota; Fungi; Ascomycota; Sordariomycetes; Diaporthales; Cryphonectriaceae
Also listed under: 3 other names
Description: tRNA-Leu
Rfam family: tRNA
About the family: Transfer RNA (tRNA) molecules are approximately 80 nucleotides in length. Their secondary structure includes four short double-helical elements and three loops (D, anti-codon, and T loops).
Source: RNAcentral
AAGAAGGUGGCGAAAUUUGGAAAACGCGGUCUGUUUAGGCCAGGCUUAUCUUUAAUGGUUUUACGGGUUCAAGUCCCGUCCUUCUUA